This is a non-coding RNA of Paramisgurnus dabryanus, 649 nucleotides long. Lineage: Eukaryota; Metazoa; Chordata; Actinopteri; Cypriniformes; Cobitidae. The record is from RefSeq and is a predicted model, not a curated record.
ACUGACUAAACACUUACAGAAAGGUUUUAUUUGUUAGCAUAGCAUGAUAAUUAAUACAUUUUUAAAUCAAUCACUUUGUCUCUGCACAAUGAACAUUAUCAAAUAUUAUUAAUGUUGUAAAAUAUAUUGUUCAUUGUUAGUUCAUAUUAGCUAAGGCAUUACCAAAUGUUAAGUAAUAAACUAUUGUAGUAAAGUGUUACUAAAUUUUCUUUUACCAUUUCUUUCACAAUGUCUACUUAUUUCUAUGGCUAACAGAUUUUGUAACAUUUGUCUUUUUUACAGUCUUACCAUUGCUUGUAAGCUGGAUUGGGUAAGAUGGAUCAUCUUUAAAGGCACCAGUUUACCUGAGUGGCACUUUUCAGGAGUUAAGGCAGAUGUGGAGGCACAACGGGUGAUACCAGACACACACCAAGCACAUUAUGUUCGGACAUUCAAUCAUGACAUGAUCCAGGUGGAUGCUGUCCAUUGAUGAAAGAGUUUGUUCCGAGGUUUCUGGAUAGAAUUAAUUCCAAAGAUGGGAAAAAGUGCACAUCCAGACAAGGAGCAAGCAAAAAGACAAGGAACUUGGUGCAGAGAAAAGCUGUGGCCAUUAACCCCCAUGUGAACAGCUUCAUGCAGUCCCUGAUUGAGUUCGAAUGGAGGACUUCAA